AACGAACGCUGGCGGCAUGCCUCAUACAUGCAAGUCGAACGAGGUCUUCGGACCUAGUGGCGCACGGGUGAGUAACAUGUGGGAAUCUACCUGAAGGUUCGGAAUAACUGCGGGAAACUGUAGCUAAUACCGGAUGUGUCUGCAAAGAGAAAGAUUUAUCGCCUUCAGAUGAGCCCGCACUAGAUUAGCUAGUUGGUGAGGUAAUUGCUCCACCAAGGCUCCGAUCUAUAGCUGAUUUGAGAGGAUGAUCAGCCACACUGGGACUGAGACACGGCCCAGACUCCUACGGGAGGCAGCAGUAGGGAAUAUUGGACAAUGGGGGAAACCCUGAUCCAGCAAUGCCGCGUGAGUGAAGAAGGCCUUCGGGUUGUAAAGCUCUUUCAUAAAUGAUGAUAAUGACAUUAGUUUAAGAAGAAGCCCCGGCUAACUUCGUGCCAGCAGCCGCGGUAAUACGAAGGGGGCUAGCGUUGUUCGGAAUCACUGGGCGUAAGGCGUAUGUAGGCGGAUCAAAAAGUUAGAUGUGAAAUCCCUGGGCUCAACCCAGGAACUGCAUUUAAAACUAGUGAUCUAGAAUUUGGUAGGGGUUAGUAGAAUUUCCAGUGUAGAGGUGAAAUUCGUAGAUAUUGGAAAGAAUACCAGUGGCGAAGGCGACUAACUGGGCCAUUUUUGACGCUGAGAUACGAAAGCGUGGGUAGCAAACAGGAUUAGAUACCCUGGUAGUCCACGCAGUAAACGAUGAGUGCUAGUCGCUGGGACAAUAGUUUCAGUGUCGAAGCUAACGCAUUAAGCACUCCGCCUGGGAAGUACGGUCGCAAGAUUAAAACUCAAAUAAAUUGACGGGGGCCCGCACAAGCGGUGGAGCAUGUGGUUUAAUUCGAAGCAACGCGAAGAACCUUACCAGACCUUGACAUGGUAUGUUUGAAUUACAGAAUCGUAAUUCUUCAGUUCGGCUGGCAUACACACAGGUGCUGCAUGGCUGUCGUCAGCUCGUGUCGUGAGAUGUUGGGUUAAGUCCCGCAACGAGCGCAACCCUCAUUCUUAGUUGCCAUCAGGUUAAGCUGGGCACUCUAAGAAAACUGCCGGUGAUAAGCUGGAGGAAGGCGGGGAUGACGUCAAGUCCUCAUGGCCCUUACGGUCUGGGCUACACACGUGCUACAAUGGUGGUGACAGUGGGCAGCAAUACUGCAAAGUAAAGCUAAUCCCAAAAAACCAUCUCAGUUCGGAUUGGACUCCGCAACUCGAGUCCAUGAAGUUGGAAUCGCUAGUAAUCGUAGAUCAGCGUGCUACGGUGAAUACGUUCUCGGGCCU
This 1308-nucleotide ribosomal RNA is filed under the name uncultured bacterium. Its description in RNAcentral is "bacterial SSU rRNA". It matches the Rfam family "Bacterial small subunit ribosomal RNA", at positions 28 to 1381 of the family's 1533-position model. The record is from RNAcentral.